AGCGGACGUGGCCAAUGGAUUAAGGCA
Molecule: transfer RNA, 27 nt
Filed under: Funaria hygrometrica
Lineage: Eukaryota; Viridiplantae; Streptophyta; Bryopsida; Funariales; Funariaceae
Description: partial tRNA-His
Source: RNAcentral